UUGACGCUGAGGUUGGUACUUGUACCGACUGGAUGAGCAGCGAACGGGUGAGUAACGCGUGGGGAAUCUGCCUUUGAGCGGGGGACAACAUUUGGAAACGAAUGCUAAUACCGCAUAAAAACUUUAAACACAAGUUUUAAGUUUGAAAGAUGCAAUUGCAUCACUCAAAGAUGAUCCCGCGUUGUAUUAGCUAGUUGGUGAGGUAAAGGCUCACCAAGGCGAUGAUACAUAGCCGACCUGAGAGGGUGAUCGGCCACAUUGGGACUGAGACACGGCCCAAACUCCUACGGGAGGCAGCAGUAGGGAAUCUUCGGCAAUGGACGAAAGUCUGACCGAGCAACGCCGCGUGAGUGAAGAAGGUUUUCGGAUCGUAAAACUCUGUUGGUAGAGAANAACGUUGGUGAGAGUGGAAAGCUCAUCAAGUGACGGUAACUACCCAGAAAGGGACGGCUAACUNCGUGCCAGCAGCCGCGGUANACGUAGGUCCCGAGCGUUGUCCGGAUUUAUUGGGCGUAAAGCGAGCCCAGGUGGUUUAUUAAGUCUGGUGUAAAAGGCAGUGGCUCANCCAUUGUAUGCU
Molecule: ribosomal RNA, 577 nt
Filed under: Lactococcus lactis subsp. lactis
Lineage: Bacteria; Bacillati; Bacillota; Bacilli; Lactobacillales; Streptococcaceae
Description: bacterial SSU rRNA
Rfam family: Bacterial small subunit ribosomal RNA
Source: RNAcentral